UGGGGAAUAUUGCACAAUGGGCGCAAGCCUGAUGCAGCCAUGCCGCGUGUAUGAAGAAGGCCUUCGGGUUGUAAAGUACUUUCAGCGGGGAGGAAGGUGUUGAGGUUAAUAACCUCAGCAAUUGACGUUACCCGCAGAAGAAGCACCGGCUAACUCCGUGCCAGCAGCCGCGGUAAUACGGAGGGUGCAAGCGUUAAUCGGAAUUACUGGGCGUAAAGCGCACGCAGGCGGUCUGUCAAGUCGGAUGUGAAAUCCCCGGGCUCAACCUGGGAACUGCAUUCGAAACUGGCAGGCUAGAGUCUUGUAGAGGGGGGUAGAAUUCCAGGUGUAGCGGUGAAAUGCGUAGAGAUCUGGAGGAAUACCGGUGGCGAAGGCGGCCCCCUGGACUAAUACUGACACUGAGGUGCGAAAGCGUGGGGAGCAAACA
RNAcentral lists this ribosomal RNA (427 nucleotides) under uncultured bacterium. Its description in RNAcentral is "partial 16S ribosomal RNA". It matches the Rfam family "Bacterial small subunit ribosomal RNA", at positions 355 to 774 of the family's 1533-position model. The record is from RNAcentral.